ACUUCCCUGGAGCGUUCGUGAUCCAAUUCUCGACGCUAACCUGACAAAGCGCAAAUAACAGGGCUUCGUCCCUGCGGCCUGUGCGCAAGCCCGCUUCAAGGCGGGACGCCUGACGGACGCAUAUUGAGGCCCGACCUGGAAUACCAGGUUCCGCAUCGCGGAUUUGACACGGCUCUCCGGGGCGCUU
Molecule: non-coding RNA, 187 nt
Filed under: Desulfovibrio sp.
Lineage: Bacteria; Pseudomonadati; Thermodesulfobacteriota; Desulfovibrionia; Desulfovibrionales; Desulfovibrionaceae
Description: 6S RNA
Rfam family: 6S / SsrS RNA
About the family: E. coli 6S RNA was the first non coding RNA to be sequenced, but its function was unknown until recently.
Source: RNAcentral